GACACAGCUUUAUGAAAAAGCAGGUUGGAUAUAAAUAGUCACCAGAUAUCUCUUCACGGUCAGAGUAUCAUGAAUGGUUCUCUGUCACAUUUUCUUAAAUGCUGCUGCUUUACCACAUGAACCUAUCCUGUUUAAUAAGGAAAGUAAAGAGAGGAUAAAUAAUGAGCUUAUUUAUAUAUACUGCUGUGCAUUUGAAAUACUGCAUUUUACUUGUCCAAUUGUGCUGCUUUUCAAAUAACAAAAAUUGCAAAUGGAAAUCACCUAU
Molecule: unclassified non-coding RNA, 265 nt
Filed under: Hevea brasiliensis (rubber tree)
Lineage: Eukaryota; Viridiplantae; Streptophyta; Magnoliopsida; Malpighiales; Euphorbiaceae
Source: RNAcentral